Molecule: ribosomal RNA, 827 nt
Filed under: Wiesneriomyces laurinus
Lineage: Eukaryota; Fungi; Ascomycota; Dothideomycetes; Tubeufiales; Wiesneriomycetaceae
Description: eukaryotic LSU rRNA
Rfam family: Eukaryotic large subunit ribosomal RNA
Source: RNAcentral
AACGGCGAGUGAAGCGGCAAUAGCUCAAAUUUGAAAUCUGGCUUCGGUCCGAAUUGUAAUUUGUAGAGGAUGCUUCGGCUUCGGCUUGGGUCUAAGUUCCUUGGAACAGGACGUCACAGAGGGUGAGAAUCCCGUACGUGGCCCUUGCCCCCGCCAUGUGAAGCUCCUUCGACGAGUCGAGUUGUUUGGGAAUGCAGCUCUAAAUGGGAGGUAAAUUUCUUCUAAAGCUAAAUAUUGGCCAGAGACCGAUAGCGCACAAGUAGAGUGAUCGAAAGAUGAAAAGCACUUUGGAAAGAGAGUUAAAAAGUACGUGAAAUUGUUGAAAGGGAAGCGCUUGCAAUCAGACUUGCCCGCGGUUGCUCAGCCGGUCUUCUGACCGGUGCACUCUUCCGCGGUCAGGCCAGCAUCAGUUUGGGCGGUCGGAUAAAGGCUUAGGGAAUGUGGCUCCCCUCGGGGAGUGUUAUAGCCCUUUGUGUAAUGCGGCCCGCCUGGACUGAGGUCCGCGCUUCGGCUAGGAUGCUGGCGUAAUGGUUGUAAGCGGCCCGUCUUGAAACACGGACCAAGGAGUCUAACAUCUAUGCGAGUGUUUGGGUGUCAAACCCGUGCGCGAAAUGAAAGUGAACGGAGGUGGGAACCUUAGGGUGCACCAUCGACCGAUCCUGAUGUCUUCGGAUGGAUUUGAGUAUGAGCAUAGCUGUUGGGACCCGAAAGAUGGUGAACUAUGCCUGAAUAGGGUGAAGCCAGAGGAAACUCUGGUGGAGGCUCGCAGCGGUUCUGACGUGCAAAUCGAUCGUCAAAUUUGGGUAUAGGGGCGAAAGACUAAUCGA